Long non-coding RNA from Aedes albopictus (Asian tiger mosquito), 1399 nucleotides. RefSeq lists it as uncharacterized. Lineage: Eukaryota; Metazoa; Arthropoda; Insecta; Diptera; Culicidae. The transcript is spliced from 5 exons. The record is from RefSeq and is a predicted model, not a curated record.
GAGAAACCUGUCACUGCAUCACACCCGCGGCAGUCAGCCGUGAUCAUAAUUUCUUAUUGACAAAGAUCUCGUUCGACGAUGGUUCUCCUAGACGACGAACCUUGCUUCGUCGGCGUUCGGCGUGGUCCGGUCCGGCAUUUGUGCUCGUGGCUUCAGCUGUGGAUGCUGCGUGGUCCUCCGCGCGAUAAAACCAUCAUUUGAUUAGCGUUUUGAAAUAGUCCGCCGUGUGCUGUAGUGUUGUUCGUUCAAGCUGUGUGGAGUUGUAGCUUGCCGGAAUAGUUUCUCUAAAGCUGUAUUGUUUGCACUGUGGGAUACUUGACCUGGGUGAACGUGAAGAGUGCUAAGUGGCAUUGCGAAUAUUUCCGAGAGGUUCACGUGGUGGUUGGUGAUCAUGAAGAUACUAGUGAUUUUGACGACCUUGAUGGUGGGUGCUUUGGCCGACCCCCAGGUGUUCUAUCCGGCAAUUGGUCUACGGCCGAAAGCUUUCCGUAAAGGUGAUAAUUUGUACAUUUAUUAAGUGUGAAAAAAUGCAAAAUAAUAUUUAUUUCAAAUCUCACUCCUUUAACGCUUCAUGAAAUGGUUUAACGCUACUGACUGGAUAUACUCAACCCUGGAUUUCGGUUACUGCAAUUAACAGCUUUAAGGAAAGCAGGACUCUUCCCGUUGGUGGUCCCAGUGGCAGUUGCUCCAAUCGCGCCGGUGGUACAUGUGCCAGUAGCACCCGUGGUACCCGUAGGACUUGCCCCCGUUGCACCAAUUGCUCCAGUCGUCCCGGUGGGUCCAUUUGGCUUAGGAAAAGCAGCAGGAUUCGGCGGUGGUGGCAGUAACGCCCAUGCACAGACGGCCUCGUUCAGCAUUGGACCCGGAGGCAUCAGCGGUUCGUUCAGCAAAUCGGCAGCUAAUUCGGAUGCUUUUGGCUAUGGUGGAUACGGAGGAGCGGGUGCUUCCGCAAGUGCCGUGGCAGAAUCUGAAUCGUACGGUGGAGGCUAUGGUGGAUUUGGAGGCGCAUCGUCUAGCGCACACGCGUCGGCGAAUUCGUACGGAGGGGGUGGCCUGUUACCGUAGACGGGUGAUUGCUGCUGCUGAUGAGACGGCUGAACUAUCACAGAAGUAGGCGUUGGCCGGGUACGGAUCACCACCGUUGAGGGAGCAGCUGUGAACAAUUGAAUAUUACAUAGGGUAUUGGUUCCCUUAUUAAGCAUGUGGCUCCCAUUUUCAUCCGAUGAAAAACAAAGGAUUGAAGCGCUAUUUGUUUUGUUUCUUAUUUUUGUAUUUUUUGUUAGAAGUGAGCACCCAUGAAAACAAAAAGAACGGAGUCAAUCGGUGCCGUAAUCGCUUGUUUUCGAAUAGGAUGAAAAUGGGAGCAUGAGAUUACUGAUGGCACACAUACCCUAGCUUA